GCCGCGGCGGGGACAGCGGCGACCGGGGCAGGACUGCAGCACAGCCAGGACUCCAGCCUCAACCAGGUGCCUCCCAACAAGAAACCACGCAUAGGGCCUUCAGGCACUAACUCAGGCGGGCCUGUCAUGCCUUCAGAUUAUCAGCACUCCAGCUCACGCCUGAGUUACCAAAGCAACAUUCAGGGAUCUUCUCAGUCCCAGAGUACAAUGGGCUACUCCACAUCGUCUCAGCAGAGCUCUCAGUACCACCAAUCUCAUCAGUCUCACAGGUACUGAGAGGCCUGACAGGCUGCACUCAGAAAGGAAUGGACUAAAAGCCAGAAGACUCCAGCAAUAUGAAGUUCAUAAUGAUGAGAAGACCAAAAAUACAAACUAUAAUGCAGAAUUAAAAUUCAUGCUGACAAAAGGAAAACUUCACUCACUGAAGACUUCCCCUGGCUCCAUCCCCGUCCCUGUAUUGCCAUAAAGGAGAUUCUCGUGAAGUUUUCCUUCCUUCCUGCCCCUGCAUGUGCUCCAUUGUGGUUACUCUAAUGAACCCUUCUGAUCUGAACCCAGCACUUAACUUCUUUAACCUUUGGAAUUUUGAAGGAUUCCUGGUGCACCUUCCUUAUGCUGUAGUGAUUGCCAUAAAUCUGUCUUUUCAAUCUCUUUGAUGGGAUUUUAAAGUUUUAAAAUCUUGAACUCCCAGGCUUUCAAGCUUGUAUAUAGUUAGUUUUAUACUAGGCAAACCAGUUUAGCUAUACAGGUAUAUUGCACCUUUUUAAAGCACUAUGUUAUUUUCACAGGAUAUUACUGUUUUGCUCAUGGAUGUCAAGAACAGCAAAAAUUUUACUGUUCCAGAGUAUUUUACUAUUCUGUUUUUAUUAGUCUAGUUUUCAGGCGAAGUAUUAAAAAUAAAAA
Long non-coding RNA from Acanthisitta chloris (rifleman), 900 nucleotides. RefSeq lists it as uncharacterized. The record is from RefSeq and is a predicted model, not a curated record. The transcript is spliced from 2 exons. NCBI's taxonomy places the organism in Eukaryota, Metazoa, Chordata, Aves, Passeriformes, Acanthisittidae.